RNAcentral lists this ribosomal RNA (482 nucleotides) under uncultured bacterium. RNAcentral's name for it is "partial 16S ribosomal RNA". It matches the Rfam family "Bacterial small subunit ribosomal RNA", at positions 30 to 507 of the family's 1533-position model. The record is from RNAcentral.
AUUGAACGCUGGCGGCAUGCUUUACACAUGCAAGUCGAACGGUAACAGGCCGCCAGGUGCUGACGAGUGGCGAACGGGUGAGUAAUGCAUCGGAACGUGCCCAGUCGUGGGGGAUAACUACUCGAAAGAGUAGCUAAUACCGCAUACGAUAUAUGGAUGACAGCGGGGGACCGUAAGGCCUCGCGCGAUUGGAGCGGCCGAUGUCAGAUUAGGUAGUUGGUGGGGUAAAGGCUAACCAAGCCAACGAUCUGUAGCUGGUCUGAGAGGACGACCAGCCACACUGGGACUGAGACACGGCCCAGACUCCUACGGGAGGCAGCAGUGGGGAAUUUUGGACAAUGGGCGCAAGCCUGACCCAGCAAUGCCGCGUGCAGGAAGAAGGCCUUCGGGUUGUAAACUGCUUUUGUACGGAACGAAACGGCUCUGGUUAAUACCCGGGGCUAAUGACGGUACCGGAAGAAUAAGCACCGGCUAACUACGUG